RNAcentral lists this small nuclear RNA (109 nucleotides) under Pteropus vampyrus (large flying fox). Its description in RNAcentral is "U2 spliceosomal RNA (ENSPVAG00000030203.1)". It matches the Rfam family "U2 spliceosomal RNA". From Rfam's summary of the family: U2 is a small nuclear RNA (snRNA) component of the spliceosome (involved in pre-mRNA splicing). Lineage: Eukaryota; Metazoa; Chordata; Mammalia; Chiroptera; Pteropodidae. The record is from RNAcentral.
AUCGCUUCUUGGCCUUUUGGCUAAGAUUAAGUGUAGUAUCUGUUCUUAUCAGUUUAAUAUAAAUUAAAUGACUAUAUAAAGUUUCUUGCAUUAUUUGCAUCAACCGAAA